AAGGAAUAUUGGGCAAUGGGCGAGAGCCUGACCCAGCCAUGCCGCGUGCAGGAAGACGGCCUUAUGGGUUGUAAACUGCUUUUAUAAGGGAAUAACCUUCCGUACGAGUACGGAACUGCAUGUACCUUAUGAAUAAGCAUCGGCUAACUCCGUGCCAGCAGCCGCGGUAAUACGGAGGAUGCAAGCGUUAUCCGGAAUCAUUGGGUUUAAAGGGUGCGUAGGCGGGAUUGUAAGUCAGUGGUGAAAUUUCCGGGCUUAACCUGGGCGCUGCCAUUGAUACUGCAGUUCUUGAGUAUAGUUGAUGUUGGCGGAAUGUGUCAUGUAGCGGUGAAAUGCAUAGAUAUGACACAGAACACCGAUAGCGAAGGCAGCUGACAAAACUAUAACUGACGCUGAUGCACGAAAGCGUGGGGAGCAAAC
This 420-nucleotide ribosomal RNA is filed under the name uncultured bacterium. RNAcentral's name for it is "bacterial SSU rRNA". It matches the Rfam family "Bacterial small subunit ribosomal RNA", at positions 356 to 773 of the family's 1533-position model. The record is from RNAcentral.